This 367-nucleotide ribosomal RNA is filed under the name uncultured organism. RNAcentral's name for it is "bacterial LSU rRNA". It matches the Rfam family "Bacterial large subunit ribosomal RNA", at positions 2099 to 2465 of the family's 2925-position model. The record is from RNAcentral.
CUUUACUGUAGCUUUGUAUUGAAUUUUGAACAGAUCUGUGUAGGAUAGGUGGGAGGCUUUGAAGCAGGGUCGCUAGAUCUUGUGGAGCCAACGUUGAAAUACCACCCUGGUGUGUUUGAGGUUCUAACCUAGGUCCAUUAUCUGGAUCGGGGACAGUGCAUGGUAGGCAGUUUGACUGGGGCGGUCUCCUCCCAAAGUGUAACGGAGGAGUUCGAAGGUACGCUAGGUACGGUCGGACAUCGUGCUAAUAGUGCAAUGGCAUAAGCGUGCUUAACUGCGAGACUGACAAGUCGAGCAGAUGCGAAAGCAGGACAUAGUGAUCCGGUGGUUCUGUAUGGAAGGGCCAUCGCUCAACGGAUAAAAGUUA